Molecule: ribosomal RNA, 373 nt
Filed under: uncultured prokaryote
Description: bacterial SSU rRNA
Rfam family: Bacterial small subunit ribosomal RNA
Source: RNAcentral
GAGUAACCUGCCCUCUGGUGGGGAAUAACAUGCCGAAAGGCAUGUUAAUACCGCAUGGUCUUGUUAUUAUUCGUAGUAAUAAGUAAAGCCUUGUGCGCCAGUCGAGGGGCUCACGACCUAUCAGGUAGUUGGUGGGGUAAUGGCCCACCAAGCCAAAGACGGGUAGCUGGUCUGAGAGGAUGAUCAGCCAGACGGGGACUGAGACACGGCCCCGACUCCUACGGGAGGCAGCAGCAGGGAAUAUUGCGCAAUGGGCGAAAGCCUGACGCAGCGACGCCGCGUGAAGGAUGAAGGCCUUCGGGUUGUAAACUUCUUUUACUGGGGAAGACCAUGACGGUACUCAGUGAAUAAGCAUCGGCUAACUACGUGCCAG